This is a long non-coding RNA of Triticum dicoccoides, 1266 nucleotides long. RefSeq lists it as uncharacterized. The transcript has 6 exons. The record is from RefSeq and is a predicted model, not a curated record. NCBI's taxonomy places the organism in Eukaryota, Viridiplantae, Streptophyta, Magnoliopsida, Poales, Poaceae.
AUCUAGGCUGACCCCCAACGGCGCUGGCACUGUGUCGAGCUGGCGCGCGCUUCUGCUUGAGGGACAGCGUGGUUCAGCGACGACGAGAUGCUCGUCCAUCUCCUCCUCAUCGACCAAAUCGUCCAGGAUUCCUCAUCCACCGCCGCGCCCAAGUUUCAGUGCGCCAUCUACUCGGCUCCUACUCCAAUGUUGCUGAGUUCAGGUCACAACAUUGUGAUCUCCUUUUUCUUCGAGAAGAAUCCAUCCAAUGCUCUGAUGUAGAAAAGGCAACAAAAGUAGUUUCAUUCGUCCAUGGAUGCUUGGUCCGGCCUCUCGAGAAAGGGCUAUACUAUAUAUGCUGCAAUAUGCACUUGCCGCCCUGUACGAAUUCAAGCAAUCAGCACUCUGAUUAUUCCGUCUGUACACAAUUGCCUUUGCUUUCUCAACCAUGGGUACAAUUUCUCUCAUCUUUUCUGGAGAUCCCACACUAUUCCUUCAGAGCAGGAAGUGCACUUUUGAAAGGUGUUAGCAUGCUUCAUAAUUGCCUAUGCACCUGGUAACUAUAUGAUGUUAGCAUCAGUUGCUCCUGUGACUGCCAUGGGAUUCUCUCUCACCAGUUUACUCAUAGUGUUCAAUCCAAUUUGGGAACUUAAAAUCAAGGGUAUUGUUCUGUUAGUGGCAUUCUGCAAGAGAAAGGGGAUAUGGUACGGGGUAGUCAUCAUGGCAAAACCAAUUGCAGCCUUAUUGUCUGUGACAUUCGUGUCCCUUAUUCUACUUCUACUACUGGACUUGUCGUUGGUCUCGAUGAGUCAUCUGGUGGCAAAGUGGAACCACCAGCACAACCACCGACACCAUUCAUAGAAACAACUAGAGUGACAUUGUGGGUGCGUGGAGGUGGUUUCAUCCUCAUCGACGGUGGAGACAAGAUCAAGGACUGGACCAACGCGGUCUUCGCACACGAACCAGUGUGGGCCAGUGGCACCGGUAAAGUAGCAUCACCGGCUUAGGAAGUUAUCUACAGAGCAUCCGCUUGGAUCCGUGCGUGAUCGUUACUCACUCCUACGGACUCCAGGGAGCUUUUGGUUACUGGGUGCAACCGGCGGGAGAAGGUAGCACGAACUAUUUACAACCGAUUUGGAAGGCGGUCCACUAAUAGGAGAGAUGUUUAGUCGUCUAGUCACGUUUCAUUGCCGGUUAUGGCUCUGUUUAUUUUUUUUGUACUUUUUUUUGCUCCUUCUGCAAGUUGUACUGCACUAUGGACCUUGGUUUGCUACUUUUUUAAUAAAA